ACUCCUACGGGAGGCAGCAGUGGGGAAUAUUGGACAAUGGGCGCAAGCCUGAUCCAGCCAUGCCGCGUGAGUGAUGAAGGCCUUAGGGUUGUAAAGCUCUUUUGUCCGGGACGAUAAUGACGGUACCGGAAGAAUAAGCCCCGGCUAACUUCGUGCCAGCAGCCGCGGUAAUACGAAGGGGCUAGCGUUGCUCGGAAUCACUGGGCGUAAAGGGCGCGUAGGCGGCCGAUUAAGUCGGGGGUGAAAGCCUGUGGCUCAACCACAGAAUUGCCUUCGAUACUGGUUGGCUUGAGACCGGAAGAGGACAGCGGAACUGCGAGUGUAGAGGUGAAAUUCGUAGAUAUUCGCAAGAACACCAGUGGCGAAGGCGGCUGUCUGGUCCGGUUCUGACGCUGAGGCGCGAAAGCGUGGGGAGCAAACAGGAUUAGAUACCCUGGUAGACA
Molecule: ribosomal RNA, 443 nt
Filed under: uncultured bacterium
Lineage: Bacteria
Description: bacterial SSU rRNA
Rfam family: Bacterial small subunit ribosomal RNA
Source: RNAcentral